UGUAUAAUGGGUCAGCGACUUAUAUUCUGUAGCAAGGUUAACCGAAUAGGGGAGCCGAAGGGAAACCGAGUCUUAACUGGGCGUUAAGUUGCAGGGUAUAGACCCGAAACCCGGUGAUCUAGCCAUGGGCAGGUUGAAGGUUGGGUAACACUAACUGGAGGACCGAACCGACUAAUGUUGAAAAAUUAGCGGAUGACUUGUGGCUGGGGGUGAAAGGCCAAUCAAACCGGGAGAUAGCUGGUUCUCCCCGAAAGCUAUUUAGGUAGCGCCUCGUGAAUUCAUCUCCGGGGGUAGAGCACUGUUUCGGCAAGGGGGUCAUCCCGACUUACCAACCCGAUGCAAACUGCGAAUACCGGAGAAUGUUAUCACGGGAGACACACGGCGGGUGCUAACGUCCGUCGUGAAGAGGGAAACAACCCAGACCGCCAGCUAAGGUCCCAAAGUCAUGGUUAAGUGGGAAACGAUGUGGGAAGGCCCAGACAGCCAGGAUGUUGGCUUAGAAGCAGCCAUCAUUUAAAGAAAGCGUAAUAGCUCACUGGUCGAGUCGGCCUGCGCGGAAGAUGUAACGGGGCUAAACCAUGCACCGAAGCU
This 591-nucleotide ribosomal RNA is filed under the name Escherichia coli. Its description in RNAcentral is "partial 23S ribosomal RNA". It matches the Rfam family "Bacterial large subunit ribosomal RNA", at positions 609 to 1201 of the family's 2925-position model. Lineage: Bacteria; Pseudomonadati; Pseudomonadota; Gammaproteobacteria; Enterobacterales; Enterobacteriaceae. The record is from RNAcentral.